Molecule: ribosomal RNA, 475 nt
Filed under: uncultured bacterium
Lineage: Bacteria
Description: bacterial SSU rRNA
Rfam family: Bacterial small subunit ribosomal RNA
Source: RNAcentral
GAUGAACGCUAGCUACAGGCUUAACACAUGCAAGUCGAGGGGGCAGCAUGAACUUAGCUUGCUAAGUUUGAUGGCGACCGGCGCACGGGUGAGUAACACGUAUCCAACCUUCCGUUUACUCAGGGAUAGCCUUUCGAAAGAAAGAUUAAUACCUGAUAGUAUGGUGAGAUUGCAUGAUAGCACCAUUAAAGAUUUAUUGGUAAACGAUGGGGAUGCGUUCCAUUAGGUAGUAGGCGGGGUAACGGCCCACCUAGCCGACGAUGGAUAGGGGUUCUGAGAGGAAGGUCCCCCACAUUGGAACUGAGACACGGUCCAAACUCCUACGGGAGGCAGCAGUGAGGAAUAUUGGUCAAUGGACGAGAGUCUGAACCAGCCAAGUAGCGUGAAGGAUGAAGGUCCUACGGAUUGUAAACUUCUUUUAUAAGGGAAUAAACCCUCCCACGUGUGGGAGCUUGUAUGUACCUUAUGAAUAAGC